RNAcentral lists this ribosomal RNA (478 nucleotides) under uncultured bacterium. RNAcentral's name for it is "bacterial SSU rRNA". It matches the Rfam family "Bacterial small subunit ribosomal RNA", at positions 30 to 506 of the family's 1533-position model. The record is from RNAcentral.
UUGAACGCUGGCGGCAUGCUUUACACAUGCAAGUCGAACGGUAGACCCUUUCGGGGGUUGAGAGUGGCGAACGGGUGAGUAAUGCAUCGGAACAUACCCAGUCGUGGGGGAUAACGUAGCGAAAGUUACGCUAAUACCGCAUGAGUCCUGAGGGAGAAAGUGGGGGAUCGCAAGACCUCAUGCUCAUGGAGCGGCCGAUAUCUGAUUAGCUAGUUGGUGGGGUAAAAGCCUACCAAGGCAUCGAUCAGUAGCUGGUCUGAGAGGACGACCAGCCACACUGGAACUGAGACACGGUCCAGACUCCUACGGGAGGCAGCAGUGGGGAAUUUUGGACAAUGGGCGCAAGCCUGAUCCAGCAAUGCCGCGUGAGUGAAGAAGGCCUUCGGGUUGUAAAGCUCUUUUGUCAGGGAAGAAACGGUGAGGGCUAAUAUCCUUUGCUAAUGACGGUACCUGAAGAAUAAGCACCGGCUAACUACGU